GAUGAACGCUGGCGGCGUGCCUAAUACAUGCAAGUCGAGCGCGAUCAUGAGGAGCUUGCUCCUCAUGAUCGAGCGGCGGACGGGUGAGUAACACGUGGGUAACCUACCUAUAAGACUGGGAUAACUCCGGGAAACCGGGGCUAAUACCGGAUAAUAUUUUGAACCGCAUGGUUCAAUAGUGAAAGACGGUUUCGGCUGUCACUUAUAGAUGGACCCGCGCCGUAUUAGCUAGUUGGUAAGGUAACGGCUUACCAAGGCGACGAUACGUAGCCGACCUGAGAGGGUGAUCGGCCACACUGGAACUGAGACACGGUCCAGACCCCUACGGGAGGCAGCAGUAGGGAAUCUUCCGCAAUGGGCGAAAGCCUGACGGAGCAACGCCGCGUGAGUGAUGAAGGUCUUCGGAUCGUAAAACUCUGUUGUUAGGGAAGAACAAAUUUGUUAGUAACUGAACAAGUCUUGACGGUACCUAACCAGAAAGCCACGGCUAACUACGUGCCAGCCGCCGCGGUAA
RNAcentral lists this ribosomal RNA (514 nucleotides) under uncultured bacterium. RNAcentral's name for it is "partial 16S ribosomal RNA". It matches the Rfam family "Bacterial small subunit ribosomal RNA", at positions 28 to 523 of the family's 1533-position model. The record is from RNAcentral.